This 731-nucleotide long non-coding RNA is filed under the name Physcomitrium patens. Its description in RNAcentral is "long non-coding RNA (PPAT_LNC009094)". Lineage: Eukaryota; Viridiplantae; Streptophyta; Bryopsida; Funariales; Funariaceae. The record is from RNAcentral.
UUGCACUCUCAAAAGAUCGCUCAAAACACAUAAUUUCCAUCCAAUACUAGAAAUGAUAGACUUCACUCCAACUAAUCUGAAUUCACAUAAUUUUUGUAAUCAUAGACUUCCUCUAUCCAAAACACACACAGCUCUCAAUAAACAACAAUCAUAAUCUUUGAAUAACUCUUCAUAUAAUUCAAUCACUAAGUGCUCAAAUUAUAUAAUCAAUAAUUCAUAAAUCAAUCUUUGAUUUAUUCCACAAAUUCACUUCUCAGUAUUCAAAAACUAUCCAUUAUUUUUCAACAACAAAAAAAAACAAAGAGGUAGCACCAAGCUUAAUCCCAGCUCAUAACUAUCACAGUCUAGUACUCAGACUAACUUCUACAACUCCUAUAUACUUACUCCCUAUUCUCAGAUUCUAACCAUAAUCCUAUAAUUAACCGCUUUUAAUAAUUAAGUUAACCAUCCGUCCUCUUGAACUGACUAUUCUAUAGACUAUUAGUCUAUUUUACCAAUAUCUUACAGAAAUGAUCUAAUAUCUAUUCUACACACCUACAUAUAAUUUUCGUCAUAUUUCACAAACUAAGUACUCAAAUACUAUAAAAUUUAUAUAUUUAGCUUCUUAAUACAUUAAUCUAUCUUUUGUAAAAGGUUUGAGUCAAAAAUUCAUCCAAAAACUCAAGAUAUGGCUCCAAACAUUACUAUGAACAAAAUCACUUACUUAUUGCCUUUGAUUUGAAUGUGCAGAC